UUUGUAUUCAUUUGGUUUUACUUUUUUAUUUUCACUUUUUUUACUAGCACAAAAACUACUCCUGUGAAUAUUAUGGUUUACAUCAGACCUUUCUGCCUUUGACUUCUUUAGGGUAAACAUCCAACAGUAAGUAAAGAGUUAGCAGUUUAGGGACUUUCUUUAGUUCCAAAUUCUUUUCUAGAAGUUGGAUCAAUUCACAUUUCAGUCUACAGUGUACUACUAGUAUGCCUAUUUUUCCACAGCCCCUCCAGCAUAUACCAUUCCUGCCUUUGUCAACUUAAUGGCUAGAAAGUAAAACCUCAAGGCUUUUUUCGUUAGGGUUUAAUUGGCAUCAUUAAUAGUAUUUUGUAUAAUUUUGUCCCAUUCUUGUAUGUCUCUUAUUUCUAAGAAUCACUUAUGGAAAAGUCCAUCCUGAAGAUCAGUUGUUUAUAGGGAAGGAAUAAACUUGAAAAGUUUGGGACAACUGGAAGAAAAACUGGCACAAACAUUAUAUCUAAGAUGUAGAAUUUCAAUAUGUAACAUUUUAGCCCUCCCACACACAUGCAUCUUUUUUUUUCUUUACUAUGGUAUUUUCCCCUUCAGGAUCAUAAAACAGUCUCAAAUCUCAGUGAAGAUGUGGUUUUAAAGUGAAAACUCUAUAGAAUCUUUUUGGUACUUUUAUGUGGCCAAGGGGCUCACAGUUAGACUGAAUGUGGUUUCUUUUUCCCCAUCUGAGUUCCCAUAGUAAGAGAACAUAUUUAAACCUAACACAAUAAAGGGAGUUGCCAGGCAGCGAUUCUGCAGGACAGAAUCUGAACUCUCUUUCUGGGGAGGAAAUGAGAGGAAUUGUGUUUUUAUUGGUUUGACAUUCAUACAAGGUAAUAUUCAUUAUGACUUCAGUUCUGCUCUAUCAAUGCCCAUCAGGGACUGUGACCACUGAGGCUGGAAACAGCAAGGUCACUUGUUCACAAUUGUCCACAGGUUCCUUUUCUCUGGAGAGUUUUCAAAUCCCAACUCCUUGACGCCCACUUUGGCUGAAGGUGGUCAUCUGGCACCAGGGUAGAGAAGGAGGAAAUUUCAUCCACACAUCUCUUUGAACAAUAGCCAGAGUAAAGGUCAGUAUGUGUAAUAAUGGUAUCUAAAAUGCUUUGGGUGAGGACUAGACCUGUGAUUUCCCUGGUAUAGGAUACUUCUUGGUGAGGAAAACUCCCUCUGCAUAACAGAGAUAGUCACUUUCUUGAAAACUUGGUCUUAGAGAAUUGCUCAGAGCACUUAGGACUUAAAUGCUUUGAGAAGGCUCACCAAGUCUUGAACUCAGAUCUUCCAGUGCUAGCACUUCCAAUCCUUUUUACUACUCUUAGGGAAAGUCAACUGCCCUUCUUCAAUCUCUAAACAGAAAGUCUUUUCUGCUCCCUGAAGUCAGAUGAAGAUUUGACUUCUGUACUUUCCCUUAUACUGAUUCAGAUCCUUUGUUGCCCUCCACAUGGAAUUCUUUCCUCCCUUUUUAAUGCUCUAAUACCUCUUUCUCAAUGAGUGACACUUUAAAAUCAUACCAACCUUGGCUAUGUCAUCAUUUAGAGAGUGCUGGACAUAGAGAGAGGUAGAAUUGGUCUAGAAUAAGUGUACUAAUUCGCCCAGUGGUUGGCCAGGUAUUCAGCCCUACCUCAAUGCUAUGCAUACAGUAGGUGCCUUAUAAAUGCUUGUUGAAUUGAAUUGAGACCUCAUUGGUGUGGAUGCAGAUCCCAACCCAUUCUUUAUGAAAUAUACUUCUGAAAAUCCUCCAAAGGGGAUUGGGUUCCAUCCUCUAGAUGUCUUGACAUUGUGCAAGUAGCUACAGAACAUGACAGAUGCCCAUGAGUCAUCCCUCACUCUCACUACAUUACUGACUUACUUUUUUCAGCCAUAACAUCUUUGAUAUCUUCUUUUGAUUAAAAUUUGAAUAAAAAUUUCUUUUACUGUCA
Molecule: long non-coding RNA, 1940 nt
Organism: Monodelphis domestica (gray short-tailed opossum)
Lineage: Eukaryota; Metazoa; Chordata; Mammalia; Didelphimorphia; Didelphidae
Source: Ensembl